RNAcentral lists this ribosomal RNA (312 nucleotides) under Triticum aestivum (bread wheat). RNAcentral's name for it is "partial small subunit ribosomal RNA". Lineage: Eukaryota; Viridiplantae; Streptophyta; Magnoliopsida; Poales; Poaceae. The record is from RNAcentral.
AUGUACGUCUUGGAGAGAUCUUUCCUAUCCUUCGAGAUCCAUCCAUUAGACCUAUUUGAAGAGGGUUCCAUUACUAACAUGUUUACUUCAAUUGUCGGUAAGGUAUUUGGUUUUAAAAACCCUAUUUUUUAUAUGUCUAGAGGGUCAACAAAUUCCCCCUACUUAUUCAAAAACUUUCCAAGCCAUGGUAUUAUUGUGAAUAGCCAUCAACUAUAUGGAAACGUUAGAAGAAUAUGGCCUAUUCUGGGCCCUAGAAUACAUUACAUUCGUAUGAUGAUUCCCUUCAACCGGGUUAUUCAAUUCCAAUUAUAG